GACGAACGCUGGCGGCGUGCUUAACACAUGCAAGUCGAACGGUGAAGGGACCGGUUUUUGCUGGUUCUGGAUGAGUGGCGAACGGGUGAGUAACACGUGAGUAACCUGCCCCCUUCUUCUGGAUAACCGCAUGAAAGUGUGGCUAAUACGGGAUAUUCUGCGCCUGCUGCAUGGUGGGUGUGGGAAAGAUAUUGUUUCGGUGGGGGAUGGGCUCGCGGCCUAUCAGCUUGUUGGUGGGGUGAUGGCCUACCAAGGCGGUGACGGGUAGCCGGCCUGAGAGGGUGGACGGUCACACUGGGACUGAGACACGGCCCAGACUCCUACGGGAGGCAGCAGUGGGGAAUAUUGCACAAUGGGCGCAAGCCUGAUGCAGCGACGCCGCGUGAGGGAUGGAGGCCUUCGGGUUGUAAACCUCUUUCGCCAGUGAAGCAGGCCUGUCCCUUUUGUGGGUGGGUUGACGGUAGCUGGAAAAGAAGCGCCGGCUAACUACGUG
Molecule: ribosomal RNA, 493 nt
Filed under: uncultured bacterium
Lineage: Bacteria
Description: partial 16S ribosomal RNA
Rfam family: Bacterial small subunit ribosomal RNA
Source: RNAcentral